This 257-nucleotide long non-coding RNA is filed under the name Durio zibethinus. RNAcentral describes it as "long non-coding RNA (DZIB_LNC002286)". The record is from RNAcentral. Lineage: Eukaryota; Viridiplantae; Streptophyta; Magnoliopsida; Malvales; Malvaceae.
GUGAGUGAUGACAUAUACGGUUUGAUAUUUUUGAUAAAAAUGCAACAAUAUUAUCUAGUAUCGAGGUGAUGAGGACAGCUAUUCAAGACCUAAUAUUCGGUACCAGUAAUAGUGGAAAUACAUGUGAUAAGGUUUCUUCUGUCCUAUAUCUCACUAUGACAGACACGUAGUUUUGAUUAUCACGAAAAUUCUAGGUGAAAUCGUUUUCCAUACUGGCAGAACAUGACUCAAAAUCGGCUGAGUUUUCGAUAUCUGAU